UUCUGUUAGAAACAGAAAUUUAUGGUCCACAAAUUGCAGUCCUUUUUAAAAGACAGCUAGGUGUCUAUAUCGUAUUUCAGAUUUAAUUGCUGUUCUCUUUGCGUAGUUGGACAUACACAUAAAGGGUUCAAAAUCGUAGAUAGAAGGUAUUGGAAUUUUAUACAAUGUACUGAUAUAAAAACAAAAGAAACGCACGUUUGUUAGCAGUCGAUGUUGUUGCAGAAUAAAAGACCCAGACAUGGAUACUUAGAGAACUUAAUUGAAAUGUGAUCAAGUAGCAGGGCUUUAAUGUGAAAUUCCACACAAUAGAUGCGAAAUAUAUCCCACUUGUCUGAAUUUUGCUGCUGUCAUAGGGGAAAACCAAUCGGGUGACCUGGGUCGGUAGAUGUCCCAGUAAAAAUAAACAGGUGAAAUCGCGAACAUUAUGACUUAUAAUAUACGGUUAUACCUCUUUCUAAGACCCUGUGACUUGAAAUUCGGCAUUCAUGAAAUUAUGACAUUACUUAGCAACCACGUGAUCAGUAAAAAUCGUGUAUUUUCACGUGAAAUUAUUUUUCGGAAUUCCGUACAUCGCCAUAGAGUAGUUGAAAAACAAAAAGGGGUUCCGAAAGUACAAGUUGUUGCUGUGACUGAAUUGAUGAUUGAGAGGGUCGUCUCGACGAAAGAUAUAGAAAUUUGGCCAUAGUUUAGAUUAGGAAUACGUCAAUGUAAUAAUAGUGGACUAAAUGUUUCGUGCAGAAUGGCACUUUUUACCUCACGAAAUUCACCACCAUGCAUAGCUGCGCUACGUAAACAAAGUUGUUGAUGUAGCGUGAUCGUGAUGUCCGAGUGCUGCGAGUUUCAAUACUGUUUAUGUAGUCAUUGAGAGUUUAAACAAAGUUUCUUCUGAGAAGAGGAAUUCGAUGGAUGCAUUCAACGUGGACAACGAAAUCAUAAUUUCGUUUGCAUCAUCCUAAGGACCAGUGCAAGUUGAAAUGGGCUUCCAGCCAACAACUUCAACAGCAAUUUGCCAUGAAAAUCAGCAAGAAAGGUACUUCAUUUACAUUGAUGAUGUCAUAUCCCCUGGACCCACAACUUUACAGGUUACAGAGAAAAUUCAAGAACUUCUGCAAAAUGUGGGACUUGGAUAGAAUCAAUAAUGUAUUUGUGAGCCCAGAGCAAUGGAUAUAUUGUGCAACAUACUAAAGUGUGAAUUUAAUGGAAAACAAGUACAUGUACUCAUGUAUUACAUGUCUUUUAUAAAGACAAUAAUAUUGUAUAAAUAUAGAGGAAGUGUCAUUGUUGAUUAUUCUAAGUUUUUGAUAUAUCAAAAUCAGUAAACAUUUCUAAAUGAAAAUAAAAUACCAAUUUUAUAACUUUAA
RNA transcript from Ostrea edulis (European flat oyster), 1361 nucleotides. RefSeq lists it as uncharacterized. The record is from RefSeq and is a predicted model, not a curated record. The transcript has 3 exons. NCBI's taxonomy places the organism in Eukaryota, Metazoa, Mollusca, Bivalvia, Ostreida, Ostreidae.